UACGAAGGGGGCUAGCGUUGCUCGGAAUCACUGGGCGUAAAGCGCACGUAGGCGGCUUACUAAGUCAGGGGUGAAAUCCUGGAGCUCAACUCCAGAACUGCCUUUGAUACUGGUAGCUCGAGUCCGGGAGAGGUGAGUGGAACUGCGAGUGUAGAGGUGAAAUUCGUAGAUAUUCGCAAGAACACCAGUGGCGAAGGCGGCUCACUGGCCCGGUACUGACGCUGAGGUGCGAAAGUGUGGGGAGCGAACAGG
RNAcentral lists this ribosomal RNA (252 nucleotides) under uncultured bacterium. Its description in RNAcentral is "partial 16S ribosomal RNA". It matches the Rfam family "Bacterial small subunit ribosomal RNA", at positions 524 to 776 of the family's 1533-position model. The record is from RNAcentral.